This 243-nucleotide ribosomal RNA is filed under the name uncultured bacterium. RNAcentral's name for it is "partial 16S ribosomal RNA". It matches the Rfam family "Bacterial small subunit ribosomal RNA", at positions 524 to 762 of the family's 1533-position model. The record is from RNAcentral.
UACGGAGGAUGCGAGCGUUAUCCGGAAUCAUUGGGUUUAAAGGGUGCGUAGGCUGGUAUUUAAGUCAGUGGUGAAAAUUUUUCGUGCUUAACAUGAGAGCUGCCAUUGAUACUGGGUACCUAGAGUGUAUUUGAUGUGGGCGGAAUGUGUUGUGUAGCGGUGAAAUGCUUAGAUAUGACACAGAACACCGAUAGCGAAGGCAGCUCACAAAAGUUACAACUGACGCUGAUGCACGAAAAGCGU